This 691-nucleotide ribosomal RNA is filed under the name uncultured Flavobacterium sp. RNAcentral describes it as "bacterial SSU rRNA". It matches the Rfam family "Bacterial small subunit ribosomal RNA", at positions 64 to 756 of the family's 1533-position model. Lineage: Bacteria; Pseudomonadati; Bacteroidota; Flavobacteriia; Flavobacteriales; Flavobacteriaceae. The record is from RNAcentral.
GAGGGGUAUAGUUCUUCGGAAUUAGAGACCGGCGCACGGGUGCGUAACGCGUAUGCAAUCUACCUUUCACAGAGGGAUAGCCCAGAGAAAUUUGGAUUAAUACCUCAUAGUAUUAUAGGAUGGCAUCAUUUUAUAAUUAAAGUCACAACGGUGAAAGAUGAGCAUGCGUCCCAUUAGCUAGUUGGUAAGGUAACGGCUUACCAAGGCUACGAUGGGUAGGGGUCCUGAGAGGGAGAUCCCCCACACUGGUACUGAGACACGGACCAGACUCCUACGGGAGGCAGCAGUGAGGAAUAUUGGACAAUGGGCGCAAGCCUGAUCCAGCCAUGCCGCGUGCAGGAUGACGGUCCUAUGGAUUGUAAACUGCUUUUAUACGAGAAGAAACACUCCUUCGUGAAGGAGCUUGACGGUAUCGUAAGAAUAAGGAUCGGCUAACUCCGUGCCAGCGGCCGCGGUAAUACGGAGGAUCCAAGCGUUAUCCGGAAUCAUUGGGUUUAAAGGGUCCGUAGGCGGUUUAGUAAGUCAGUGGUGAAAGCCCAUCGCUCAACGGUGGAACGGCCAUUGAUACUGCUAGACUUGAAUUAUUAGGAAGUAACUAGAAUAUGUAGUGUAGCGGUGAAAUGCUUAGAGAUUACAUGGAAUACCAAUUGCGAAGGCAGGUUACUACUAAUAUAUUGACGCUGAUGGACGA